RNAcentral lists this small nuclear RNA (104 nucleotides) under Pongo abelii (Sumatran orangutan). The record is from RNAcentral. Lineage: Eukaryota; Metazoa; Chordata; Mammalia; Primates; Hominidae.
GUGCUCAUUUUGGCAGCUCAUAUACUAAAACUGGAAUAAUAUGAAGAUUAGCUUGUCCGUUUGCAAGGAUGACAUGAAAAUUCAUGAAUCAUUCCAAACGCACA